RNAcentral lists this ribosomal RNA (469 nucleotides) under uncultured bacterium. RNAcentral describes it as "partial 16S ribosomal RNA". It matches the Rfam family "Bacterial small subunit ribosomal RNA", at positions 28 to 507 of the family's 1533-position model. The record is from RNAcentral.
GACGAACGCUGGCGGCGUGCUUAACACAUGCAAGUCGAACGGAAAGGCCCUGCUUGCAGGGUGCUCGAGUGGCGAACGGGUGAGUAACACGUGGGUGAUCUGCCCCUUACUUUGGGAUAAGCCUGGGAAACUGGGUCUAAUACUGGAUAGGACCAUGCUGUAGGUGGUGUGGUGGAAAGAUUAGUUUCGGUAAGGGAUGAGCUCGCGGCCUAUCAGCUUGUUGGUGGGGUAAUGGCCUACCAAGGCGUCGACGGGUAGCCGGCCUGAGAGGGUGGACGGCCACAUUGGGACUGCGAUACGGCGCAGACUCCUACGGGAGGCAGCAGUGGGGAAUAUUGCACAAUGGGCGCAAGCCUGAUGCAGCGACGCCGCGUGGGGGAUGACGGCCUUCGGGUUGUAAACUCCUUUCAGCCAUGACGAAGCCCUUGUGGUGACGGUAGUGGUAGAAGAAGCACCGGCUAACUACGUG